Long non-coding RNA from Ornithodoros turicata, 811 nucleotides. RefSeq lists it as uncharacterized. The record is from RefSeq and is a predicted model, not a curated record. The transcript is spliced from 3 exons. NCBI's taxonomy places the organism in Eukaryota, Metazoa, Arthropoda, Arachnida, Ixodida, Argasidae.
CUCUGGCGAAUGCCUUGGACAUCAUCCAAGGGGAUAACAACGUUUUUAUGGGGACGCUGCUAUCGACAGUGGCCGUUGUCCUAAAGAAACUCGAAAGCACGCGAGAGACAGAACUACGCUUUUGCCGUCCUCUAGUUGAUGCGCUAACUGCUGGAGUAAAAGCAUGGUUCGCCUCAGUCAUGGCACGAAAAGACCUCAUCAUUGCCACUGCUUUGAUGCCAAGAUUUAGAACUAACCUUGCAUGGCUGUCUGUCCGUGAACAAACUGCCCUCUACGAGCAGAUGAAGCACGAAGUAGGGCAAUGGACAAGAAGUGAACCGACUACAAGCCAAGCGGACGAAAGCGACGAUUUUUUCUCCGUCCUGGAUGAAACGAAUUUUGGGGAAGCUAAAGGUUUUUAGAUCCCGCAAGGGGCAUCAGCGUACGCGGACGUUUGGUGAGUGGCGCCACCACGGACCCUAGCCCCCAGUCCCAAGGUGUUAUCCGUACCCUGCCGAGGGGAUGAAAGGCGCAGAGUAGAAGCCUUGAGCGGUGGCGGUUGGGGUCUUGGUCAAGCCCCGGCCGAUGGAUUUUCCUUGAAACUCCGGGACCUUCCCACAUGUAUGAAUGUGAAGCGUGGGCGACCAAUAGGAACAUUCUUUUUCUUAAUCCUCGCGUGGUAAAACACUCAAACUCUCUUCCGAUCGGGUGCGGUAAGCGUCCCCGGACCGAAGUUCCCAUACUCAAAGCCAAUCCAUUUAGUGCCAAAUAUAUUGUAUUAUCUGCCGUGUCUUCAGGAAAUGAAAAAACUGUACCUCUUGGAAAGAUGUCA